Molecule: ribosomal RNA, 859 nt
Filed under: Salmonella enterica
Lineage: Bacteria; Pseudomonadati; Pseudomonadota; Gammaproteobacteria; Enterobacterales; Enterobacteriaceae
Description: partial 23S ribosomal RNA
Rfam family: Bacterial large subunit ribosomal RNA
Source: RNAcentral
AAUCCAUAGGUUAAUGAGGCGAACCGGGGGAACUGAAACAUCUAAGUACCCCGAGGAAAAGAAAUCAACCGAGAUUCCCCCAGUAGCGGCGAGCGAACGGGGAGGAGCCCAGAGCCUGAAUCAGCAUGUGUGUUAGUGGAAGCGUCUGGAAAGGCGCGCGAUACAGGGUGACAGCCCCGUACACAAAAGCGCAUGUGCUGUGAGCUCGAUGAGUAGGGCGGGACACGUGGUAUCCUGUCUGAAUAUGGGGGGACCAUCCUCCAAGGCUAAAUACUCCUGACUGACCGAUAGUGAACCAGUACCGUGAGGGAAAGGCGAAAAGAACCCCGGCGAGGGGAGUGAAAAAGAACCUGAAACCGUGUACGUACAAGCAGUGGGAGCACCCUUUGGGGUGUGACUGCGUACCUUUUGUAUAAUGGGUCAGCGACUUAUAUUCUGUAGCAAGGUUAACCGUAUAGGGGAGCCGGAGGGAAACCGAGUCUUAACCGGGCGUUAAGUUGCAGGGUAUAGACCCGAAACCCGGUGAUCUAGCCAUGGGCAGGUUGAAGGUUGGGUAACACUAACUGGAGGACCGAACCGACUAAUGUUGAAAAAUUAGCGGAUGACCUGUGGCUGGGGGUGAAAGGCCAAUCAAACCGGGAGAUAGCUGGUUCUCCCCGAAAGCUAUUUAGGUAGCGCCUCGUGAAUUCAUCUCCGGGGGUAGAGCACUGUUUCGGCUAGGGGGCCAUCCCGGCUUACCAACCCGAUGCAAACUGCGAAUACCGGAGAAUGUUAUCACGGGAGACACACGGCGGGUGCUAACGUCCGUCGUGAAGAGGGAAACAACCCAGACCGCCAGCUAAGGUCCCAAAGUCAUGGU